UUCAACAGACAAGAUAACGCAUUAAGGAG
Molecule: non-coding RNA, 29 nt
Filed under: Homo sapiens (human)
Lineage: Eukaryota; Metazoa; Chordata; Mammalia; Primates; Hominidae
Source: RNAcentral